Transfer RNA from Oikopleura dioica, 72 nucleotides. It matches the Rfam family "tRNA". From Rfam's summary of the family: Transfer RNA (tRNA) molecules are approximately 80 nucleotides in length. Their secondary structure includes four short double-helical elements and three loops (D, anti-codon, and T loops). Further hydrogen bonds mediate the characteristic L-shaped molecular structure. tRNAs have two regions of fundamental functional importance: the anti-codon, which is responsible for specific mRNA codon recognition, and the 3' end, to which the tRNAs corresponding amino acid is attached (by aminoacyl-tRNA synthetases). tRNAs cope with the degeneracy of the genetic code in two manners: having more than one tRNA (with a specific anti-codon) for a particular amino acid; and 'wobble' base-pairing, i.e. permitting non-standard base-pairing at the 3rd anti-codon position. The record is from Rfam. Lineage: Eukaryota; Metazoa; Chordata; Appendicularia; Copelata; Oikopleuridae.
UCCCACAUGGUCUAGGGGUUAGGAUUUCGGAUUUUCACUCCGACGGCCCGGGUUCGAUUCCCGGUGUGGGAG